This 1146-nucleotide long non-coding RNA is filed under the name Anser brachyrhynchus (Pink-footed goose). RNAcentral's name for it is "lncRNA (ENSABRG00000013953.1)". Lineage: Eukaryota; Metazoa; Chordata; Aves; Anseriformes; Anatidae. The record is from RNAcentral.
AAUGAAUAGGCUCUUUCCCUUCUAAAUAGCCUCUAUAAAGUUACCUAUUGACUAGAAAUAACUGUGUGCAUAUCAGGGUAUUGACCAGGUUGGAUCACCUGCCAAAAUUAGACUGGGGCUCACGGGGUUAGAUCUGUGAAGGGCAAUUUACAAAUCUUAACUUUCCCACCUUGAGUCCUUGCAAGUCACCAGAGUGAAGAGUAGCUUGAUUCGAAGGGUACAGGUAUUUCCCCUGCUUCAGUGCGUGUGUAAGGGCAAACUCUUCCUUUCUCUCAGCCCCGGAGGAGUUGCCUGGCACAUUGUUGCCGAGCUCCAUCCCUGCUUUGUACACACUGGCACAGGAUGUUGAAUUAGUACUGCAAGACUCACCACUCUCACCUCCUCACAGCAAUUCUGUGUGAUCCUGACCUAACUACAGGGUCCCGGUGACAGCACAAGGUAAAACAAUAUGCCAGCCCUGACUGUGGUAGCUUGAUUCCUAGGCAGAGUUUCACCAUGGUGAUACUUGCUGAAAAACAGCAAAUCCCUGCCAUUUAUGCUUUUAAAUUAAUGCUAACACUUGAGCAGAUAGUGCUGUGAUGUGUAUCCUGAGUGCUCACUGAGUCUGAAUGACACGACAGUAAAAUCCUAACCAAAGUACAAAAAGGUUACUGCAAUUCUCUUAUAGCUGGAGGCUGACCAGUUUUCUUGAGUUCCUCCUUGUUUCUUCUGUUGCUCUUGUAUUUGUGCAAUUCUCAUCACAAAGCUGCUAGUGGCUGUUUUAUGGUGGCUGAAUUGUUAGCACCAUUAUUUGUACUUCAUCUCAGGGAUCCAGAGAAGUGUGUGCUUGGUGCCAGCUUUUCUUUUUUUUUUUUUCUUCCCACUCCUGUUGGUUCAUGUGGGUUGCUUCACCCUUGCUUACAAGCCUGCCCACCAAUGUGUGUUAUGCUGAUAUGGUGCACAGCAGGAGCUGAAGGGGCUGACAGGGCUAAGAAAACAAGAAGCCGCCAGGCUGCGCUGAAAACAGAGUCUGAGCCAACAGAACAAUUUUAUUGUUUGGGAACAGAACAUCAACAAAUGUAAAUGGUUGCCACCUUGUAUGGGUGAGUCAUGUGCUCUUGGUUCUAACUGUGAACAAAGUCAAAAAUAAAUUGGUUUUGGCAGUCA